UCGCCUCAGGGGCGGUGGGCGGGCUCGGGGCCGGCUAGAGGGCGGCAGGAGCCGGCCCCUGGGGCGGGGGAAGGCUGAGGGGGCAUAUUGCCAUUAUCCCCCGUGAUUUGGGGUCGUGGUGAGGUGUUUUCGGCCAGCUGGAAGCAAGCAAGAAUGUCAGAGCCUGAACCUCCAGAAUCUGUGAUGGAGUGGCAACGCAGAAGGAUAUAGCCAACAUCUUUCACGCAAGGCACGGAGGAAUGUUUGCAUCCCAUCCCAAGGCAGCUGCCGGCCCUGACCCCCCAUGGCUUUGGGGGUUUGCGAGGUGCCUCAGAAACCCAUUUCGGGUUCACAGCCCCAGCGGUGCCCAGCGGCUGAAGUCGACGCUGCUGCCAGAAGGGCCGGUCUCGCGCCCACCACAUCUCCUUGGGCCAGCCCUGGCAUCCACACGGCCACUCAGCCAGCCAGCACGCUGAACGUCCUGCAGAUUAACCCUACGGAAGGGAGAACAAGGAGGGAGGAUUGCUCCGAGACCAAGCGGCCCCCUGUGCCACGGGCCGCGCAGCCAAAGAAGCACAAGUGUCAGCGCAGGGGAGAGAGCAAGGGCGUGCGGCCGGCUGGGGGAGCUGCCUUCUGGCAGGAGCCCAGGGUGACAGGGUGGCUCCAGAGACCACAGGACAGCCGGUCGCCUCGUGUCAGAAAUCCUGUCUUCCAAGAACGACAAAACGUUGCCUCGCCCUUCACUUCUCCGGUAUUUUGUUUAUCCUGCUGUGGACACCAGCAGAUCUUAUCCCGUCCUUUGCAGCUAUUUUUAACCUGGACGUGUUCUGUGAUUUGUUUCACGCACAGCACUGAAAUGGCACAGCUGAGGGGAUUCAUCAGCAAAGCCCAGCUUUGCCAGGAAAAGCUGCAUCCCCGUGAGGACCUCUCUGCUGCUGUAACGCAGCAAAGCUUUGAUCACUUUCUGCUGGGGAAGGCUGCUUUGCAAGGAGAGAGGCAGGGCACAGGAGUCAACGCUUAUAACCAGGAUCGUGCUGCAUUGGACUCUGAACAAGGAACAAAACAUGCAUGCUCCAAGGAGUUUUGA
RNAcentral lists this long non-coding RNA (1066 nucleotides) under Anser brachyrhynchus (Pink-footed goose). RNAcentral describes it as "lncRNA (ENSABRG00000020041.1)". Lineage: Eukaryota; Metazoa; Chordata; Aves; Anseriformes; Anatidae. The record is from RNAcentral.